RNAcentral lists this ribosomal RNA (468 nucleotides) under uncultured bacterium. RNAcentral's name for it is "partial 16S ribosomal RNA". It matches the Rfam family "Bacterial small subunit ribosomal RNA", at positions 28 to 507 of the family's 1533-position model. The record is from RNAcentral.
GACGAACGCUGGCGGCGUGCUUAACACAUGCAAGUCGAACGGAAAGGCCCUGCUUUUGUGGGGUGCUCGAGUGGCGAACGGGUGAGUAACACGUGAGUAACCUGCCCUUGACUUUGGGAUAACUUCAGGAAACUGGGGCUAAUACCGGAUAGGAGCUCCUGCUGCAUGGUGGGGGUUGGAAAGUUUCGGCGGUGGGGGAUGGACUCGCGGCUUAUCAGCUUGUUGGUGGGGUAGUGGCUUACCAAGGCUUUGACGGGUAGCCGGCCUGAGAGGGUGGCCGGCCACAAUGGGACUGAGAUACGGCCCAGACUCCUACGGGAGGCAGCAGUGGGGAAUAUUGCACAAUGGGCGGAAGCCUGAUGCAGCAACGCCGCGUGCGGGAUGACGGCCUUCGGGUUGUAAACCGCUUUCGCCUGAGACGAAGCGUGAGUGACGGUAAUGGGUAAAGAAGCACCGGCUAACUACGUG